This 499-nucleotide ribosomal RNA is filed under the name uncultured Glomus. RNAcentral describes it as "SSU rRNA". It matches the Rfam family "Eukaryotic small subunit ribosomal RNA", at positions 591 to 1092 of the family's 1831-position model. The record is from RNAcentral. Lineage: Eukaryota; Fungi; Glomeromycota; Glomeromycetes; Glomerales; Glomeraceae.
CCAAUAGCGUAUAUUAAAGUUGUUGCAGUUAAAAAGCUCGUAGUUGAAUUUCGAGAUCAAAUUGUUGGUCGUGCCUUGGUACGCACUGGCAUUAUUGGUUUCUCCCUUCUGACGAACCAUGAUGUCAUUAAUUUGGUGUCUUGGGGAAUCAGGACUGUUACUUUGAAAAAAUUAGAGUGUUUAAAGCAGGCUCACGCUUGCAUACAUUAGCAUGGAAUAAUGAAAUAGGACGUUUGAUUCUAUUUUGUUGGUUUCUAGGAUCGACGUAAUGAUUAAUAGGGAUAGUUGGGGGCAUUAGUAUUCAAUUGUAAGAGGUGAAAUUCUUGGAUUUAUUGAAGACUAACUACUGCGAAAGCAUUUGCCAAGGAUGUUUUCAUUAAUCAAGAACGAAAGUUAGGGGAUCGAAGACGAUCAGAUACCGUCGUAGUCUUAACCAUAAACUAUGCCGACUAGGGAUCGGAUGAUGUUAAUUUUUUAAUGACUCAUUCGGCGCCUUACG